RNAcentral lists this ribosomal RNA (502 nucleotides) under uncultured Glomeromycotina. Its description in RNAcentral is "partial small subunit ribosomal RNA". It matches the Rfam family "Eukaryotic small subunit ribosomal RNA", at positions 591 to 1092 of the family's 1831-position model. Lineage: Eukaryota; Fungi; Glomeromycota. The record is from RNAcentral.
CCAAUAGCGUAUAUUAAAGUUGUUGCAGUUAAAAAGCUCGUAGUUGAACUUCGGGGUCUACCCAUUGGUCAGGCUUAAUUGUCUGCACUGGUGAGAUGGAUCUCUACCUUCUGAGGAACUUUCAUGCCAUUUAUUUGGUGUGAUGGGAAAUCAGGACUGUUACUUUGAAAAAAUUAGAGUGUUUAAAGCAGACUAUCGUCUGAAUACAUUAGCAUGGAAUAAUGAAAUAGGACGGACUGAUUCUAUUUCGUUGGUUUCUAGGAUCACCGUAAUGAUUAAUAGGGAUAGUUGGGGGCAUUAGUAUUCAAUUGUCAGAGGUGAAAUUCUUGGAUUUAUUGAAGACUAACUACUGCGAGAGCAUUUGCCAAGGAUGUUUUCAUUAAUCAAGAACGAAAGUUAGGGGAUCGAAGACGAUCAGAUACCGUCGUAGUCUUAACCAUAAACUAUGCCGACUAGGGAUCGGACGAAGUUAAUUUUAUAAUGACGCGUUCGGCACCUUACG